Long non-coding RNA from Acanthopagrus latus (yellowfin seabream), 1351 nucleotides. RefSeq lists it as uncharacterized. The transcript has 6 exons. Lineage: Eukaryota; Metazoa; Chordata; Actinopteri; Spariformes; Sparidae. The record is from RefSeq and is a predicted model, not a curated record.
ACAUAGGAGCAGUGCAUGCUGGGAGACAGACAGGAAGUAAAUUCACCAUGCGGCCAUCAGCUACAGUUGUGUGAGCACAGUCAUCAGUUCUUUAGCUAGCAGGCUUUUCUUGCUCUCACUUUGCUAAGGCAACGUCUGCCCAACUUCCUGUCUGCUGCUGAAUUCGGCUGAAUUGACGCGGCAUGCUCUGGCACCCAGUAGAAAUCGAAGCCUUGAGUAUCUGCAAUUGAAGUGUCCAGGCGUCGGAGCUGCUAUGGAGUAGAUACGUGACGGAAAGGAGCCAGUGGAAAUACCUGGAAGCUUCGCUGUCGUGGUGAAGAUGGACCUGGUAGAAUUUGAGGACGCUGUUGUGGAGAGAGGAAGAAUACAUUGUUGGGCAGGGUGACACUAUCAAACAUCUGCUAAUCUGAGUGCGGCCAUGAAAUGAAGCCGUGUGAAGUAUUGUCAACAAUUACAACCCCCCCUCCCGCCCCCUCCUCCCGCUUCUUCCUCCGAGCAGCCUACCAUACAAGCACAGACAUGGAGGACUUCACCGCCUUUAAAUCAAAGCAAGAAACCUCCCCGGUGGACUUCUAACCUUUUAGUGGUCUUUUAAUAUGCCAGCUCUGCCCUAACUCCUGGCAAGCUGAGUGACAGGCCUGUUUCCACUGGUCCACAGAGUUGCUUCACUUCCCUUUCUUCCGUCAUUCCCCCCACUUCAGCUCUUCACUCAAUCCUGGAGAUUGGAGUCCCCUCCUCUUGAUCUCGCCGUUCCCCCCCCACUCUGUCCCCCCCCCCUGUCCUCUCCGGUCUCUUUGCAGGCCCUCCUUCAGCGGCUCUGUCUGGUGUGUCAGCCUGUGAAGCUUCUGCGCUACAGUACAUCCUGUUGAUAGGAAGCAUCCUGUGCAUCAUCACUCCCAGCUGCCUGUGGGUUCAGCUGGCUCAGUCUGGCCCAUCUGUGUGAUCUUCUGCCAGAUAACUGGGGUUUGGCUCUGCGUGAUCCGUCCCUCUCCAAAGCGUUUGCCAGGAGAAAGAGGUAGGGAGGCUGGAGAAAGAAAGGUGCAGGCUGGACAGCGAGCUCUGCAUUGAGUGCCCGGCCCGAGGGGGCUCUGCGGUGCUCAUCCCGGCUCUCCUGGGAUACCAUACAUUGCUCUUGUAUAACAAAGGACAUGGGAGCCCUAUGUUUAUUGAAGGAUGUGUAAGGAUGAGCUCCAGGUGUGACGGUGACGCAAGUAUCUAAUCCUGGUUGACAUUUAAAUGCCAUGGCUACCAUUGAUAUAUGGUUUGAAGAGCCUGUGGGACAUUGCUCCUAUUCCAAAUGUCUGCGAUAUAUUUCGAAGCAAAAUCUAAUAAAAGAAACGCGGACUAAGCA